Molecule: ribosomal RNA, 1431 nt
Filed under: Chryseobacterium ginsengisoli
Lineage: Bacteria; Pseudomonadati; Bacteroidota; Flavobacteriia; Flavobacteriales; Weeksellaceae
Description: 16S ribosomal RNA
Rfam family: Bacterial small subunit ribosomal RNA
Source: RNAcentral
CUAACACAUGCAAGCCGAGCGGUAGAGAUUCUUCGGAAUCUUGAGAGCGGCGUACGGGUGCGGAACACGUUGAUGCAACCUGCCUUUAUCAGGGGGAUAGCCUUUCGAAAGGAAGAUUAAUACCCCAUAAUAUAAUGAGUGGCAUCACUUAUUAUUGAAAACUCCGGUGGAUAGAGAUGGGCACGCGCAAGAUUAGAUAGUUGGUAGGGUAACGGCCUACCAAGUCAGUGAUCUUUAGGGGGCCUGAGAGGGUGAUCCCCCACACUGGUACUGAGACACGGACCAGACUCCUACGGGAGGCAGCAGUGAGGAAUAUUGGACAAUGGGUGAGAGCCUGAUCCAGCCAUCCCGCGUGAAGGACGACGGCCCUAUGGGUUGUAAACUUCUUUUGUAUAGGGAUAAACCUUUCCACGUGUGGAAAGCUGAAGGUACUAUACGAAUAAGCACCGGCUAACUCCGUGCCAGCAGCCGCGGUAAUACGGAGGGUGCAAGCGUUAUCCGGAUUUAUUGGGUUUAAAGGGUCCGUAGGCGGAUCUGUAAGUCAGUGGUGAAAUCUCACAGGCUUAACCUGUGAAACUGCCAUUGAUACCUGCACGGUCUUGAGUAAAGGUAGAAGGUGGCUGGAAUAACGUAGGUGUAGGCCGGUGAAAUGCAUAGAUAUUACUUAGAACACCAAUUGCGAAGGCAGGUCACUAUGUUUUAACUGACGCUGAUGGACGAAAGCGUGGGGAGCGAACAGGAUUAGAUACCCUGGUAGUCCACGCCGUAAACGAUGCUAACUCGUUUUUGGGUUUUCGGAUUCAGAGACUAAGCGAAAGUGAUAAGUUAGCCACCUGGGGAGUACGUUCGCAAGAAUGAAACUCAAAGGAAUUGACGGGGGCCCGCACAAGCGGUGGAUUAUGUGGUUUAAUUCGAUGAUACGCGAGGAACCUUACCAAGGCUUAAAUGGGAAUUGAUGGGUUUAGAAAUAGACCGUCCCUUCGGGCAAUUUUCAAGGUGCUGCAUGGUUGUCGUCAGCUCGUGCCGUGAGGUGUUAGGUUAAGUCCUGCAACGAGCGCAACCCCUGUCACUAGUUGCCAUCAUUAAGUUGGGGACUCUAGUGAGACUGCCUACGCAAGUAGAGAGGAAGGUGGGGAUGACGUCAAAUCAUCACGGCCCUUACGCCUUGGGCCACACACGUAAUACAAUGGCCGGUACAGAGGGCAGCUACCUAGCGAUAGGAUGCAAAUCUCGAAAGCCGGUCUCAGUUCGGAUUGGAGUCUGCAACUCGACUCUAUGAAGCUGGAAUCGCUAGUAAUCGCGCAUCAGCCAUGGCGCGGUGAAUACGUUCCCGGGCCUUGUACACACCGCCCGUCAAGCCAUGGAAGUCUGGGGUACCUGAAGUCCGUGACCGUAACAGGAGCUGCCUAGGGUAAAACAGGUAACUAGGGC